RNAcentral lists this ribosomal RNA (794 nucleotides) under uncultured archaeon. Its description in RNAcentral is "bacterial SSU rRNA". It matches the Rfam family "Archaeal small subunit ribosomal RNA", at positions 85 to 879 of the family's 1478-position model. The record is from RNAcentral.
ACUGCUCAGUAACACGUGGACAACCUACCCAAAGGUCUGGGAUAACUCCGGGAAACUGGGGAUAAUACCGGAUAGGUCAAGAGUACUGGAAGGGUUUUUUGAUUGAAAGCUCUGGCGCCUUUGGAUGGGUCUGCGGCUGAUUAGGUUGACGCCGGUGUAAAGUACCGGCGUGCCGAUUAUCAGUACGGGUUGUGGGAGCAAGAGCCCGGAGAUGGAUUCUGAGACACGAAUCCAGGCCCUACGGGGCGCAGCAGGCGCGAAAACUCUACAAUGCAGGCAACUGCGAUAGGGGAACAUCGAGUGGCAUCUACAUUAGGUGUCUGUCCAGCUGUCUAAAAAACGGCUGUUAGCAAGGGCCGGGCAAGACCGGUGCCAGCCGCCGCGGUAAUACCGGCGGCUCGAGUGGUGGCCGAUAUUAUUGAGUCUAAAGGGUCCGUAGCCGGCUUUGCAAGUCUUGUGGGAAAUCCAGCGGCUUAACCGUUGGGCGUCUGCGGGAUACUACAUUGCUUGGGACUGGGAGAGGUAGGAGGUACUCAGGGGGUAGGAGUGAAAUCCUGUAAUCCUCUGGGGACCACCGGUGGCGAAGGCGUCCUACCAGAACAGGUCCGACGGUGAGGGACGAAAGCUAGGGGCACGAACCGGAUUAGAUACCCGGGUAGUCCUAGCCGUAAACGAUGCCCGCUAGGUGUCACGGCAGUCGUGAACUGCCGUGGUGCCGUAGGGAAGCCGUGAAGCGGGCCACUUGGGAAGUACGACCGCAAGGUUGAAACUUAAAGGAAUUGGCGGGGGAGCAC